AACGCGAAGAACCUUACCUGGGCUCGAAAUGUUAUGGACCGGAGUGGAAACAUUCCUUCCCCGCAAGGGGCCGUAAUAUAGGUGCUGCAUGGCUGUCGUCAGCUCGUGUCGUGAGAUGUUGGGUUAAGUCCCGCAACGAGCGCAACCCUUAUCUUCAGUUGCUACCAUUUAGUUGAGCACUCUGACGAAACCGCCUCGGAUAACGGGGAGGAAGGUGGGGAUGACGUCAAGUCCUCAUGGCCUUUAUGUCCAGGGCUACACACGUGCUACAAUGGCCGGUACAAACCGUCGCAAACCCGUGAGGGGGAGCUAAUCGGAAAAAGCCGGCCUCAGUUCGGAUCGUAGUCUGCAACUCGACUACGUGAAGCUGGAAUCGCUAGUAAUCGCGGAUCAGAAUGCCGCGGUGAAUACGUUCCCGGGCCUUGUA
RNAcentral lists this ribosomal RNA (427 nucleotides) under uncultured Acidobacterium sp. RNAcentral's name for it is "bacterial SSU rRNA". It matches the Rfam family "Bacterial small subunit ribosomal RNA", at positions 958 to 1385 of the family's 1533-position model. The record is from RNAcentral. Lineage: Bacteria; Pseudomonadati; Acidobacteriota; Terriglobia; Terriglobales; Acidobacteriaceae.